AGUGAACGCUGGCGGUAGGCCUAACACAUGCAAGUCGAACGGCAGCACAGUAAGAGCUUGCUCUUACGGGUGGCGAGUGGCGGACGGGUGAGGAAUACAUCGGAAUCUACUUUUUCGUGGGGGAUAACGUAGGGAAACUUACGCUAAUACCGCAUACGACCUACGGGUGAAAGCAGGGGAUCUUCGGACCUUGCGCGAUUGAAUGAGCCGAUGUCGGAUUAGCUAGUUGGCGGGGUAAAGGCCCACCAAGGCGACGAUCCGUAGCUGGUCUGAGAGGAUGAUCAGCCACACUGGAACUGAGACACGGUCCAGACUCCUACGGGAGGCCGCAGUGGGGAAUAUUGGACAAUGGGCGCAAGCCUGAUCCAGCCAUACCGCGUGGGUGAAGAGGGCCUUCGGGUUGUAAAGCCCUUUUGUUGGGAAAGAAAAGCAGCAGGUUAAUACCCCGCUGUUCUGACGGUACCCAAAGAAUAAGCACCGGCUAACUUCGUG
This 492-nucleotide ribosomal RNA is filed under the name uncultured bacterium. Its description in RNAcentral is "partial 16S ribosomal RNA". It matches the Rfam family "Bacterial small subunit ribosomal RNA", at positions 29 to 507 of the family's 1533-position model. The record is from RNAcentral.